Molecule: long non-coding RNA, 1168 nt
Filed under: Numida meleagris (helmeted guineafowl)
Lineage: Eukaryota; Metazoa; Chordata; Aves; Galliformes; Numididae
Description: lncRNA (ENSNMEG00000001961.1)
Source: RNAcentral
GCCCCCACUCACAUGACGGCGCACUGGGCGAAGGACAGGUAGUUCACCAGCACGUCCAGCCCCUUGUUCUCGUCAUUGAGGAACUCGCGCACCCAUCUACAGCGGGACACGGUGCUCAGCGCCGGGGGCACCCCAAGGCCACCACCCCACAGCAUGACCCCAAAGCCAGGACCCCAAAACCAGGACCUCAAAGCCAGGACCCCAAAGCUAGGACUCUAAAACCAGGACCCCAAAACCAGGACCCCAAAACCAGGACCCCAAAACCAGGACCCCAAAGUUAGGACCCCAAAACCAUGAUCCCAAAACCAGGACCCCAAUGCCAUGACUCAAACCCAUGAGCCCAAAGUCAUGAUCCCGGUGCCAGUACCGCAAAACCAGGACUCCAAAACCAGGACCCCAAAGCCAUGACCCCAAAACCAAGACCCCAAAACCAGGACUCCAAAACCAGGACCCCAAAGCCAGGACCCUACAAACCAGGACCCCAAAACCAGGACCCCAAAACCAGGACCCCAAAGCCAUGACCCCAAAGCCACGACCCCAAAGCCACGACCCCAAAGCCACGACCACAACACCAACAACCCUAAUGCCAAGACCCCAAAACCAGGACCCCAGCGCCACCCCCCCAAACCACGACCCCAAAGCCAGAAGCUCAAGGCCAUGACCCCAAAGUCACGACCCCGGCACAUUACCCCAACGCCGCGACCCGAACACCACGACCCCAAAGCCAGGACCCCAAAGCCACAACCUCUGCCCAUGGGGACAUUGGGACCGGCCCCACAAACGGGGGGAGGGCAGGUGGGGGCUCCCAGCCCCGGUGACAGUUGCAGCCCCCCACUAUCACCCCAUAGCAGCAGCACGGGGCGUUAUCUAUGGGGCGCAGGGAGGGAGCAGCACCACGUGGGAAACGGGGCCGCGCUCGGCAGCGGGAACCGGUGGCGAUGGGGUCUGUGUGGGGCAGGGGUGGGUGUGGGGUCGGCGUGGGGUGUGCAUGGGUGUAGGGUGCACGGGGUGUGCGUGGAUAUGGGGUGUGUGCAUGCAUGGGGUGCACGGGGUGCAUGGGGUGCAUGUGGAUAUGGGGUGUGUGCAUGCAUGGGGUGCAUGGGGUGCAUGCAUGGGGUGCAUACGGAUAUGGGGUGUGUGCAUGCAUGGGGUGCAUGGGGUGUGCAUG